UGUGUGAUGUGUUUUCGUGUGUGAUGUGUGUUAGUGUGCAAUGUGUUAGCGUGCGUGAUGUCUCACUGCUGUUCAAGUGGACAUUAGCAUUGUCAGGUGGCCUCUGCAGUGUGGGGGUUCCUCUGGUCUGAGCUUGGCAGCCCCUUACCUCAGAGUCCAGGCCUCCUGUGUGUCCUCCAGAGAUAGUUCUCAUGGCAGCACUGGCUGCCCGAGCCCCCAGAGAUGCACUGGGCCCAGCCGCCAUCUUCACAAAUGGUGAACCUCUCCCUUCAAACCACACUGUAGGCACAGGCAGCUGCUGCAAGGCUGAGUCUCUGUGGAAUCCCUUCCUCUCCGAAGGGGCCUGUGAACCGUGACCGAGGGCAGUGAGGAGGGAUCUGGAGAAUCUCAGGGCGCGAGGACACUGGCGGGGCAAGUACGGGGGCAAACCUGCAGGGGCAGCUGCCAGGAGCCAAAAUCAGGGUCAACCUUUCCGUGAGGUGCUUUUGUGCAAACUGAUGUUUAGCUCCUGACUUAAGUAAAAAACAUCCUUACGUCUUAGGUACAUUUGUAAAACCUGGGUUUUAUAUGUGAUGGAAAUAAUGUACCAUCAGUAUUGCAGCGUUGCUAAAACAGGGCAAGGUUUUCUAUUAUGGGGUGACCCUGGGGUCUUCUAUUAUCAGGGUGACCCUGGGUCUUCUAUUAUCGGGGUGACCCUGGGGUUUUCUAUUAUCGGGGUGACCCUGGGGUUUUCUAUUAUGGGGUGGCCCUGGGGUCUUCUAUUAUGGGGUGGCCCUGGGGUUUUCUAUUAUCGAGGUGACCCUGGCUCCCGUGGCAAAUGCUGUCCCCAGUAGCACGUGGGGCUCUUCAGCUUAUCUGAGUGCCGCGUCUCCAUGGGCGGCAAUUUCUCGGAGGCCUGGCACGGCGGCACCGGAAGCGGGUACUGGUGCCCUAAGGAGCGGGAGGGUCAACGUCCGGGGCCUGCCCUGCACUCGCCGAGGUGAUGGGUUGGUUAGAGGAGCCACAGUUCCUCUCCGUGCACUCACGUGAAUUACGCGCGGUGACUCAGCAGCCCCAUGACGUCAUGGCUCUGAGCGAGCGGCCGAGCGUCGGUGCCCCAGUCCAGCCCUUGCUGUUCCUUCACACUCACGUUUCCAAGCUGAAAACGCGAGGGGCUCAAAACUGGAAAGGAAAACAGCGUGGUCGGCCUCUCGUUCCUGCGACGCGUUCUGUGGGUGAUGGAAAGAUGGGGGAGGAGGAGGGACCACCCAGGGUGCCCCCCGCCGACCGUUACCCGCCCUUUGCCCCAAGGCUGUCUUUGAGGUCGGUCUUUCUGGGGCUGUGGCCCAAAUGAAGUCAAGAGACAGCAUCGGGCGUUGACUGUCCCCUCGUGUGGGCCGGGCACCGACCCUGCCUGGGGUUGCUGGGCACCAGCGCUCGUCACAAUAAAAAACCCACAGUGAAGAUGGGUCAGGGGUUUGCACUGCGCCAGGUCUGCUCAUCCCCAAAGCCACGGUUUUCCCAUCGCAGGUGGUCUGGAAGCACCAGACGGCGCGCGUGUGGGGUGGCCAGCGACGGGCUGCCACGGAGGUGUGCGACCUGCAGGCCACAGACAUUCCCAGAGAGCCCCUGCGUGCAAAACAUGGACACACAGAUGUUUGUGAAGCUCUGGGAUGGCGUUUAGCAGGAGGAAUAACGGGGUCUUCAGAGAAUCAACAAAAUAAAUGUAGCACCUGUUGGGUUAUUGAAACCAGUUGUUAUUAGGAAGGGAUCUGGGGCAAUUGAUGAAGAAACAGGAAGACGACAAAACUCAAGGUCCAAGAAUGAGGAAGCCGAGGAAGAAUGAGGAAGCCGAGGAAGAAUGAGGAAGCCGAGGAAGAAUGAGGAAGCCGAGGAAGAAUGAGGAAGCCGAGGAAGAAAGCAGCCGCCGUGUGGAGCCGCCCAGAGACUGGCACUCACCUGUGUCACUGUGCGGGGAGGGCAGGGUCUCGCCAGCAGCCGGUGGCACAUGCGGGCGGCACGGGGGCUGCGUGGUGGCCUCUGUGAUGUCACCUGGCAGAGGUGCCUGAGCUGGGCCCGGCGUGGAGGGCAUAGGCCUCACUCUCUGACUGCCUGACAGUCCCUACAGUGAGCGGGACCCCCUUAUUAAGGCUGUGGGGCAGAGUGGGGUGACAGGUGUUGAGGGGUGGGGCCCAGCCCCGGGCACCCGCAUGUUCCUCUCUGCCCCUGGGAGAAGUGUUGAGAGACGGAGCUCGGGAUCAGCUGGCAUAUCCACCAUGUUCCAGGGUCGACCAGGGAGCACAGAGCCCUGAACAUCCCUUCAACAGCGCGCCACACGCUCCUGGCACAAACUCCAGACCACGGCACAGCACCCAGAUGGCUGCAGCCACGCAGGUGACACAGGGUCCAGAAACCUUGACAAAAAAGAUACUUCGGGGCAUUGGGAUGUGUGAGGCUCAGGUGGGAGGAGAAGGCUCCAGCCCUCACCACGCUUGGCCCUGCCUCCAGCAAGGACCCCCACCCCAGGGCUCCAGGCCUCGGGCUGCUGCCUGUCUGAUGUGAGCGUCCUCACCCUGUCCAGAAACCCACAACUGCCAGGACCGUGGGGUGACAGCCACGGUGGGCUCUGCAGGCCCCUCUGGUCUAAGACACCAGGAGGCCACAUCCAGCAACCAAGGCCACCCGGCAGGACACGUCAGGAUGGAGGUGCAGUGAAGACUGCGGUGGACGCCUCCAGAGGUUCCCACUUGGCUUCCAGUGGAGCCUCUGCCAAACCCGGCCUGUGCAAGGGCAGAGACAAGGCCCAGCAGGGCUCGAGCAGGCCCAAACGCACGACGCAGCUGCUGUGCCUGGGUCUGAGCUGCACCCACAGUUUUCCUGGCGUCUUGUCCUCUGGAUGGGCCUCUGGAUGAACAUAAACUCCAGGGAAGCUGCAUAGAAUAUGCAGCUCUUCUUUAACGCUCCCUAGAGGAAGAAAGCCCCUCAGCCGGAAGUAUUGUUGACGUCGCCGCCACUACUAAUGAAAUAUUUACUGAAAAGCCAAAGCGAAACAUUUUUCUAGUUAAUUAAAACAGUGCAUCUUUCAAGCAAGCUCCCUCGAGGGGCCAGGCUCGGACGGACCCAGCGGGCAGGCAACCCGAGGUGCUCCUGAGUGGGGUCUCGACUGGGAAGGGGGCGCCCAGGACGCAGGUGGGGUUCCUGCCACACGACACUGAGGGGUGGGGGGACAGACGCUGCAGAGACCCUGCGAAAGGCCCCUCCCGAUGGGUAAACUCACACUUGGUACACGCUGGCAGGGGCAUCUGGGCCUGCACUCUGGAAUUGGUGGUGGUCCUGGGAAGGUUUUUUGGGCCAGGGACAAGAGUACUUGGGUUUGCUUUCUGGAAAAAUGAAAAAAGAGAAGUU
Molecule: long non-coding RNA, 3384 nt
Filed under: Homo sapiens (human)
Lineage: Eukaryota; Metazoa; Chordata; Mammalia; Primates; Hominidae
Description: HSALNT0360790
Source: RNAcentral